This 301-nucleotide ribosomal RNA is filed under the name uncultured bacterium. RNAcentral's name for it is "partial 16S ribosomal RNA". It matches the Rfam family "Bacterial small subunit ribosomal RNA", at positions 509 to 807 of the family's 1533-position model. The record is from RNAcentral.
CAGCAGCCGCGGUAAUACAGAGGGUGCGAGCGUUAAUCGGAUUUACUGGGCGUAAAGCGUGCGUAGGCGGCUUCUUAAGUCGGAUGUGAAAUCCCUGAGCUUAACUUAGGAAUUGCAUUCGAUACUGGGAAGCUAGAGUAUGGGAGAGGAUGGUAGAAUUCCAGGUGUAGCGGUGAAAUGCGUAGAGAUCUGGAGGAAUACCGAUGGCGAAGGCAGCCAUCUGGCCUAAUACUGACGCUGAGGUACGAAAGCAUGGGGAGCAAACAGGAUUAGAUACCCUCGUAGUCCCUGUCUCUUAUAC